UCACAUCACGUUGAAACACCAGUUACCAUACGAUCACCAAAGUUAAGCAACGUCGAUCCUGGUCAAUACCUAGAUGAGUGACCGCUUCGGAAUAAAAGGUGUUGUAAG
Molecule: non-coding RNA, 108 nt
Organism: Acanthosepion pharaonis
Lineage: Eukaryota; Metazoa; Mollusca; Cephalopoda; Sepiida; Sepiidae
Source: the annotation of a GenBank genome assembly